Molecule: ribosomal RNA, 492 nt
Filed under: uncultured bacterium
Lineage: Bacteria
Description: partial 16S ribosomal RNA
Rfam family: Bacterial small subunit ribosomal RNA
Source: RNAcentral
AUUGAACGCUGGCGGCAUGCCUAACACAUGCAAGUCGAACGGCAACAGGUUAUCGGCUGGCGCUGAGUGGCGGACGGGUGCGUAAUACAGCGGAACGUGUCCAGACCUGGGGUUUAACGAGGCGUAAGGUAUGCUAACAUACCCUAAGAUCUAAGGCUGAAUGCGGGGGACAGCAGGGGCUCGUCCGACCGGGCGGGACGGAGGGAGCCGAUGUAAGAUUAGGUAGUUGGGGGGAUAAAGGCUCACCAAGCCGACGAUCCGUAGCUGGUCUGAGAGGACGAUCAGCCACACUGGAACUGAGACACGGCCCAGACUCCUACGGGAGGCAGCAGUGGGGAAUAUUGGACAAUGGGCGAAAGCCUGAUCCAGCAAUGCCGCGUGCGGGAUGAAGGCCUUCGGGUUGUAAACUGCUUUUGUGCGGAACGAAAAGCCUCAGGCUAAUACCUGGCGGACAUGACGGUACCGAAAGAAUAAGCACCGGCUAACUACGUG